CGGGCCUCCGAUUCCCAUGUGCUUUUAAUUUCAGGGCGCGUUGCUCCCGCCGCCGCGCGGGAGCCGGCGGGAAGGCAGCAGCCCCGCGGCCGGAGCAGCCAGGAGCCCCGCUCAGGGCCUCGGCGCGCUCGGGGCGCUUCAUCCACGCACCUCCUCGGGCGGCCAGGAACGUGCAAAAGUCACGAGGCCGCUUCUCCUCCCUGCUUAAUACAUUCCUAAAUUGCUUUUUACAAUAAAACACACUAGCUAGAGCACAAGUUUCCCAUGCAAAAAACUUUCUGCACCAGGUCCCUGUAUUAACAGCUCACUGUUUUCCACCCGGAGGGGGAGGAAAGGGAACCGCGGGAACCCCAGGGAGAGGGAGCAGCGCAUGGCUCCUCCGGCGGCUCCGGCAGCCACGCUCGCGGCGGAAGAGCUCGGCCCGGGAAGCGGAGCCUGCCGCGUCCAGCUGGAAAAGCAGGGGGAAGAGAACAAGAGGAUGUAUUCUCCAAAACCCGGGCCCAGCCACGCUCCGGGCCAAAGCCAACAGCGGAGCGCUCCAGCCGCGCCGCGCUCCUUCUCCGCACUCGGACACCCGGCGGUCGCGGCACCGCUGCUGCCGGCUCGGCCCGCCGCAAGGGACCUCUCGCAAAGCGGGCUGGAUCGGCCGGAGCCAGUUCCGGGGUGAAUCUGGCCCCUUUUGGGUCCGCUCUGGCAGCCGGCGUGACAAGGGGCUUUGCCUCCCGCCCUCAGCUUCCCGCCCGGGCGUUUUUCUCCCACCAUCGGGCUUUAACGUCACCCCUGCGUGGGAACCCUGAUGGGAAUCGCUGCCACGAGACAACGGCGAAAUCCCCCACGCUGCAGACCCGGCGGCGGAGGGUCCCCGCUCAGCGGGCUGGCGAGCUCCUGGGGCUCACCGCAAGCCGUGCACACGCGUACACACACACACGCGUGUGCACACACACACGCACCCCCGCCGCCCUCGGGAGGGCUCGCAGGCUGCCACGGCGCUCAGCUUUGCCCCGGAGCGGGGAGAAGAAACUGAGGGCCCCAAAAACUUUUCCGU
This 1045-nucleotide long non-coding RNA is filed under the name Dromaius novaehollandiae (emu). Its description in RNAcentral is "lncRNA (ENSDNVG00000013890.1)". The record is from RNAcentral. Lineage: Eukaryota; Metazoa; Chordata; Aves; Casuariiformes; Dromaiidae.